GGGGCUGACCACCCAGGGACGGGCAGAGGAGUCUGGAACAGGACGGUUUGUGCGCUGCCUGCGAGCACCGUGCUUCCACGACUAGAUGCCUCUGUGGUGAAAGCCAAAAGGAGUAUUUUACUGCACACAAAUUCUCAGAAAUGAUCAUCUGAAAACUACAGGUUCUCGGCUAAGGCACCCAGGCUCAGACUGCCGACACAUCGUUAAGCAGCUGGGUACCAGCAGCAAUGACCUCAUCCCUCUGACUCCGUGACCUCGGCUGCAGAGGGUCACGGCGAAUUAUAUACACAGUGCCACGCACAUGGGAAGCUCUCAGUGAGAGAGGGUGGGCUGAGAGCCGCUUGGCCUGGGCCCUGCACCUCGUCCCACUCUGCAUGAACUGCCUUUGCGGAGCCCGAGCCCGGGCAGAAGAACCAGAACAAAACCUAAGUACAAACACGGCGGGCUCGAGCGGGGCUUGGCACGGCGCAGGGGUGGCGGCAAGGGGGCAGCCUGGACUGGAGCCAGAAAGCCUGUGCUGGCAUCCGCCACGCGGACGGGGAAGCUGAGACCCAGGGCUCAGGUCACGCUUACGUCGUUUGGUAGCCAGGUACCAGGACCUCAUGCCAUACACAGCACACAGGCUGUGGAGCUGGAGCCAGUCGAGGAACCUGGAAGCCCCGACCCAGACAAGGCGCAGCCUGGGGGAGGGACAGGGAGGCCUCUCGAACCCAUGGCUUUCUUCUGCCCACUGCAGCCUGGGGGAGGGACAGGGAGGCCUCUCGAACCCAUGGCUUUCUUCUGCCUGCACAGGGGCCCCUCCUGUCCACGAUAAAAGCCCAGUAAUAAGGAGAAAGCAGUCAGCAGCCUUCACCUCAGCUCCAGACUCCGUUCUCGGGGCCAAGUUCAGGUGUGUGCCUGUCCCCCCACCCACCAGGUGGCCAGGCCUGGCUAUGACCGCACGGGAGAGCAGGGCGGACCCCGCGAACGGGGACAGCACCUGACGGCGACAUCCACAAACGCCGCCCCGCAGGAGCACGCACUCCCACACAAAGCGCCUGCAGCUGACAGCCGCCGGGAGGGGACAUCUGGACAGCCUCACGCAGCUUUCAGACCUGCAGUCCAUGUUAAAAGGAUCUUGUUUCCAAUUUGCCUUAAUUAAACAAACAUUCCAAACC
This 1157-nucleotide long non-coding RNA is filed under the name Homo sapiens (human). RNAcentral's name for it is "non-protein coding lnc-GPER1-1:6". The record is from RNAcentral. Lineage: Eukaryota; Metazoa; Chordata; Mammalia; Primates; Hominidae.